Molecule: small nuclear RNA, 107 nt
Filed under: Castor canadensis (American beaver)
Lineage: Eukaryota; Metazoa; Chordata; Mammalia; Rodentia; Castoridae
Source: RNAcentral
GUGCUGGCUGCGGCAGCACAUAUACUAAAAGUGAAAUGAUACAGAGAAGAUUAGCAUGGCCCCUGCGCAAGGACGAUAAGCAAAUUUGUGAAGCGUUCCAUAAAAAA